Molecule: long non-coding RNA, 918 nt
Organism: Micropterus dolomieu (smallmouth bass)
Lineage: Eukaryota; Metazoa; Chordata; Actinopteri; Centrarchiformes; Centrarchidae
Exons: 2
Source: RefSeq, a predicted model, not a curated record
UCCUGCCGCUGACUCUGCUGUUGGUGAUCGCUGCCCUUUGUUUCUACCGUAAGGCCAGCAGGGGGCAGAAGCCGGGCAGGCAGGAGGACAUCGAGCUGGAUUAUUAUAACCCGGGUGUUUCUGCAGCUGAAGGAGGGCCGACUGAAGAGGAAGGAGCUCAGGGAGCAGAGUAGGACCUCCAAGGAGCUCAUCUCAGCUGCCUCACAACCCACCAUCAGCUCAGUCUAGGAUUUUACUCUUUUCUAGUGAUGGAUAAGCCUCUGGUUCUGGUUCUUGGGGGGCCUUCACAGACACAGUUUGACUGCCUGACACAUUUACAAGCCAUAUAGUAACAUGAUUUGCCUUUGCUUUCAGAGUGAUAAUGGUUAACUGCUGAGCUCAUAUUACAAAAGUAGAACAUUUGAAGAAAGAUGUUUAAUUUGAGAUACUGUCUUUAUUUCUUUAAUAAGUCCUGUAUCUCUGCAUCUCUUGUGCCGGACCUCAUCUUUGCCUCUAGAAACCUUUGUCUGGGUACGGACAGACAUGUCUCAAGUCUCAAACUAACGCUAGUUUUCAGUACAGAGGAAGCUAAGGUCCACUCUUUUGCUGUAAAUUAAACCAAAAGCUAAAGCGUCCCUGACGACGCAUUUGUGUAUCUAGCGCACAUGAGGGGAGGUGUGAAAAAAGGUGCGAUGCAGAGGGGAAGGUCAAGAGUUUUACUUUUUACGCUUCUAUCAUUUUUAGUCAACGUUAAGACUUGUCUUCUGUAAGGACGUCUCAUGUAUGCAUUCCCUGAUGACGUCAAGAUAAUCAUUUUAAUCAGGAAAGAAGGCACUAUUUGCCUAAACGUCAGCAGCCACUGUGAAAAUGAAAGCAACAUCAUUUUGAGAUUAAAGAACAGAAGGAAGGUUUUUCUUUCAAAAAGAUGGUGACAACCCA